RNAcentral lists this ribosomal RNA (492 nucleotides) under uncultured bacterium. RNAcentral describes it as "partial 16S ribosomal RNA". It matches the Rfam family "Bacterial small subunit ribosomal RNA", at positions 29 to 507 of the family's 1533-position model. The record is from RNAcentral.
AGUGAACGCUGGCGGUAGGCCUAACACAUGCAAGUCGAACGGCAGCACAGUAAGAGCUUGCUCUUACGGGUGGCGAGUGGCGGACGGGUGAGGAAUACAUUGGAAUCUACUUUUUCGUGGGGGAUAACGUAGGGAAACUUACGCUAAUACCGCAUACGACCUACGGGUGAAAGCAGGGGAUCUUCGGACCUUGCGCGAUUGAAUGAGCCGAUGUCGGAUUAGCUAGUUGGCGGGGUAAAGGCCCACCAAGGCGACGAUCCGUAGCUGGUCUGAGAGGAUGAUCAGCCACACUGGAACUGAGACACGGUCCAGACUCCUACGGGAGGCAGCAGUGGGGAAUAUUGGACAAUGGGCGAAAGCCUGAUCCAGCCAUACCGCGUGGGUGAAGAAGGCCUUCGGGUUGUAAAGCCCUUUUGUUGGGAAAGAAAAGCAGCAGGUUAAUACCCCGCUGUUCUGACGGUACCCAAAGAAUAAGCACCGGCUAACUUCGUG